This 404-nucleotide ribosomal RNA is filed under the name Fusobacteriota bacterium. RNAcentral's name for it is "Fusobacteria bacterium partial 16S ribosomal RNA". It matches the Rfam family "Bacterial small subunit ribosomal RNA", at positions 355 to 776 of the family's 1533-position model. Lineage: Bacteria; Fusobacteriati; Fusobacteriota. The record is from RNAcentral.
UGGGGAAUAUUGCACAAUGGAGGGAACUCUGAUUCAGCGACGCCGCGUGAGUGAUGAAGGAAUUCGUUUCGUAAAACUCUGUUCUAUGGGAAGAAAAGGACUGUACCAUAGGAGAAAGCUCCGGCUAAAUACGUGCCAGCAGCCGCGGUAAUACGUAUGGAGCGAGCGUUGUCCGGAAUUAUUGGGCGUAAAGGGUGCGCAGGCGGCUUUACAAGUUGGAUGUGAAAUAUUGUGGCUCAACCACAAACGUGCAUCCAAAACUGCAAAGCUUGAGUUAAGGAGAGGUAAGUGGAAUUCCUGGUGUAGCGGUGGAAUGCGUAGAUAUCAGGAGGAAUCCCGGUGGCGAAGGCGACUUACUGGACUUAAACUGACGCUAAGGCACGAAAGCGUGGGGAGCAAACAGG